CGGACAGCGAGGCCAAGAUUUCAGCUGCGGGACGGUCAGGGGAGACCUCCAGGCGCAGGGAAGGACUGGGCCUUCCAGGAGACCAGUGUGGAGAGCGCCGUGGACACGCCCUUCCCAGCUGGAAUAUUUGUGAGGCUGGAAUUUAAGCUGCAGCAGACAAGCUGCCGGAAGAGGGACUGGAAGAAACCCGAGUGCAAAGUCAGGCCCAAUGGGAGGAAACGGAAAUGCCUGGCCUGCAUCAAACUGGGCUCUGAGGACAAAGUUCUGGGCCGGUUGGUCCACUGCCCCAUAGAGACCCAAGUUCUGCGGGAGGCUGAGGAGCACCAGGAGACCCAGUGCCUCAGGGUGCAGCGGGCUGGUGAGGACCCCCACAGCUUCUACUUCCCUGGACAGUUCGCCUUCUCCAAGGCCCUGCCCCGCAGCUAAGCCAGCACUGAGAUGCGUGGUGCCUCCAGGACCGCUGCGGGUGGUAACCAGUGGAAGACCCCAGCCCCCAGGGAGAGGAACCCGUUCUAUCCCCAGCCAUGAUAAUAAAGCUG
Molecule: long non-coding RNA, 539 nt
Filed under: Homo sapiens (human)
Lineage: Eukaryota; Metazoa; Chordata; Mammalia; Primates; Hominidae
Description: HSALNT0130657
Source: RNAcentral